This 254-nucleotide ribosomal RNA is filed under the name uncultured bacterium. RNAcentral's name for it is "partial 16S ribosomal RNA". It matches the Rfam family "Bacterial small subunit ribosomal RNA", at positions 524 to 776 of the family's 1533-position model. The record is from RNAcentral.
UACGGGGGGAGCAAGCGUUGUUCGGAUUUACUGGGCGUAAAGGGCGCGUAGGCGGCCAGUGCAAGUCAGCUGUGAAAUCUCCGAGCUUAACUCGGAAAGGUCAACUGAUACUGCUCGGCUAGAGUGCGGAAGGGGCAACUGGAAUUCUUGGUGUAGCGGUGAAAUGCGUAGAUAUCAAGAGGAACACCUGCGGCGAAGGCGGGUUGCUGGGCCGACACUGACGCUGAGGCGCGAAAGCUAGGGGAGCGAACGGG